This 253-nucleotide ribosomal RNA is filed under the name uncultured bacterium. RNAcentral's name for it is "partial 16S ribosomal RNA". It matches the Rfam family "Bacterial small subunit ribosomal RNA", at positions 524 to 776 of the family's 1533-position model. The record is from RNAcentral.
UACAGGGGGGGCAAGCGUUGUUCGGAAUUACUGGGCGUAAAGGGCGUGUAGGCGGCUUAGCAAGUCAGAUGUGAAAUCCCGGGGCUUAACUUCGGAGGUGCAUUUGAAACUGCUAGGCUAGAGUGAAGUAGAGGUUGGUGGAAUUCCCAGUGUAGAGGUGAAAUUCGUAGAUAUUGGGAGGAACACCGGUGGCGAAGGCGGCCAACUGGGCUUUAACUGACGCUGAGGCGCGAAAGCGUGGGGAGCAAACAGG